RNAcentral lists this ribosomal RNA (484 nucleotides) under uncultured bacterium. Its description in RNAcentral is "partial 16S ribosomal RNA". It matches the Rfam family "Bacterial small subunit ribosomal RNA", at positions 30 to 507 of the family's 1533-position model. The record is from RNAcentral.
AUUGAACGCUGGCGGCAGGCCUAACACAUGCAAGUCGAGCGGAUGAAGGGAGCUUGCUCCUGGAUUCAGCGGCGGACGGGUGAGUAAUGCCUAGGAAUCUGCCUGGUAGUGGGGGAUAACGUCCGGUAACGGGCGCUAAUACCGCAUACGUCCUGAGGGAGAAAGUGGGGGAUCUUCGGACCUCACGCUAUCAGAUGAGCCUAGGUCGGAUUAGCUAGUUGGUGGGGUAAAGGCCUACCAAGGCGACGAUCCGUAACUGGUCUGAGAGGAUGAUCAGUCACACUGGAACUGAGACACGGUCCAGACUCCUACGGGAGGCAGCAGUGGGGAAUAUUGGGCAAUGGGCGAAAGCCUGAUCCAGCCAUGCCGCGUGUGUGAAGAAGGUCUUCGGAUUGUAAAGCACUUUAAGUUGGGAGGAAGGGCAGUAAGUUAAUACCUUGAUGUUUUGACGUUACCAACAGAAUAAGCACCGGCUAACUUCGUG